Molecule: transfer RNA, 66 nt
Filed under: Macrophthalmus japonicus
Lineage: Eukaryota; Metazoa; Arthropoda; Malacostraca; Decapoda; Macrophthalmidae
Description: tRNA-Asp
Source: RNAcentral
AAGAAAUUAGUUAAAAUUUCAUAACCUUCGCUUGUCAUGCGAAAAUUAUCUCAAAGAUAUUUCUUA